Molecule: non-coding RNA, 4565 nt
Organism: Arvicanthis niloticus (Nile rat)
Lineage: Eukaryota; Metazoa; Chordata; Mammalia; Rodentia; Muridae
Source: RefSeq, a predicted model, not a curated record
AGGAGAGGCUCUCCUCAUUCUCCUUUGUUGUUCUAACGGGCAAGGUGCCAGCGGGGUUUUGUAAGCACCUGAGAACAGCGAUGACAAGUAGUGCCUGAGAGUCACAGAGGCACAGGUGGCUUUGACAUUCCCCCAUACAGCGGUCAGAGAGAACCCACACAUUCUGCUCUCGAUGGAGAAGAGCAAGAAGGAUGACCAUCAGGCUGUGCUCAAUGAAGGAGAGGAGAAUGAGCUGGAGGUGUUUGGCUACCACACUCAGAAUCUACGGAGAGCCCUGUGCCUUGUCACAGCCAUCCUGACUCUUGGUGCAGUUCAGCUGAUGUUCUACUGGAGACCUGAGUGGUGGGUGUGGACCAGUUGCAUCCCAUGCCCCUUGCAAGAAGCAGAUACAGUUUUGUUGAGGACAACCGAUGAAUUUCGAAGAUAUAUGAGGAAAAAGGUCUUUUGCCUCCACUUAUCCACACUGAAGUUUCCUAUAAGCAAGAACCCAGAGGAACCUCUGGUAGCUGACCACCACUCGGUCAUAAACCAAGCUGUAAUGAAGCCAGAACUGAAACUACGGUGCAUCCAAGUGCAGAAAAUCAGGUACGUGUGGGAUUUCUUGAAGAAGCGAUUUCAGAAAGUUGGGUUGCUGGAAGACAGUAACUCCUGCUUUGACAUUCAUCAUACAUUUGGAUUGGGUCUGACCAGCGAAGAGCAAGAGGUCAGAAGGUUAGUGUGUGGGCCCAAUGCUAUCGAGGUGGAGAUCCAGCCCAUAUGGAAGCUACUUGUUAAACAGGUUUUAAAUCCAUUCUAUGUGUUCCAAGCCUUCACCCUCACUCUGUGGCUGUCCCAGGGUUACAUAGAAUACUCUGUGGCUAUCAUCAUUUUGACUGUUAUCUCCAUCGUCUUGAGUGUAUAUGAUUUGAGACAGCAAUCAGUUAAGCUGCACAAGCUCGUGGAGGAUCACAACAAAGUUCAGGUCACCAUUACAGUAAGAGACAAAGGUCUACAGGAGCUGGAGUCCCGCCUCCUGGUUCCGGGAGAUAUUCUCAUUCUUCCAGGGAAAAUUUCAUUGCCCUGUGAUGCUGUCUUGAUUGAUGGGAGUUGUGUGGUGAAUGAAGGAAUGCUCACAGGAGAAAGUAUACCUGUCACAAAGACACCAUUGCCCCAAACGGAGAACACCAUGCCCUGGAAAUCCCACAGUUUGGAGGACUACCGGAAACAUGUGCUCUUCUGUGGAACAGAAGUGAUUCAGGUCAAGCCAUCUGGUCAAGGACCUGUUAGAGCCGUUGUGCUGCAGACAGGUUAUAAUACAGCAAAAGGGGACUUAGUGAGAUCCAUUCUGUACCCCCGACCACUGAACUUCAAACUGUAUAAUGAUGCCUUCAAGUUCAUGGUGUUCCUGGCCUGCAUCGGUGUUGUGGGAUUUUUCUAUGCCCUAGGUGUCUAUAUGUACCAUGAAGUUCCUCCGAGAGAAACUGCAACCAUGGCUCUGAUCCUCCUCACUGCUACGGUCCCUCCUGUGCUUCCAGCUGCACUGACCAUAGGCAAUGUGUAUGCCCAGAAGAGGUUGAAGAAGAAGAAGAUUUUCUGCAUCUCCCCACAGAGAAUCAACAUGUGCGGCCAGAUCAACCUCGUGUGCUUCGACAAAACAGGAACUCUGACAGAAGAUGGACUGGACCUCUGGGGGACUGUCCCCACUGCUGGCAACUGUUUCCAGGCAGUCCACAGCUUUGCCUCCGGUGAGCCUGUACCCUGGGGCCCACUGUGUGCAGCCAUGACCAGCUGCCACUCCCUGAUUCUUCUCGAUGGGACCAUCCAAGGAGACCCUUUGGACCUCAAAAUGUUUGAAGGAACUGGUUGGAAUAUGGAAGAUGGCCAAGUGGCCUCCUGCAAAUUUGGCAUGUCAGAUUCAAGCCCAGUAAUAAAACCAGGACCGGAAGCUAGCCAGAGUCCCGUGGACAGCAUCACCAUCUUGCGCCAGUUCCCGUUUUCCUCGGGCCUGCAAAGGAUGUCUGUGAUUGCUCAGCUGGCUGGUGACCUUCACCUCCACGUCUACAUGAAGGGUGCCCCGGAAAUGGUGGCCAGGUUCUGCUGCUCUGAAACGGUGCCUGAGAACUUCCUACAGGAGCUGAGGAACUACACUGUGCAAGGCUUCCGCGUCAUUGCUCUUGCCCACAAAACCCUGAAGAUGGAGAGGCUCUCAGAUGUGGACCGUCUAGCAAGGGAGAAAGUGGAGUCCGAGUUGACAUUUCUGGGACUUCUCAUAAUGGAGAAUCGCUUGAAAAAAGAAACAAGGCCUGUACUGAAGGAGCUGAGCGAGGCCCGCAUCAGGACGGUGAUGGUUACAGGUGACAAUCUUCAAACUGCCAUCACUGUUGCUAAAAAUUCUGAAAUGAUUCCUCUGGGCAGCCAGGUCAUCAUUGUCGAGGCUAAUGAGCCAGGAGACCUUGUUCCUGCUUCUGUGACCUGGCAGCUGGUGGGGACCCAAGAGCCAGGCUCUGGGAAGAAGGACACCUACAUUGACAUCGGCAACAGUUGUGUACCCGGUGGGAAAGGUUACCAUUUUGCAAUGAGUGGAAAGUCAUACCAAGUAUUAUUUCAUCACUUCUACAGCAUGCUGCCACAAAUUCUGGUUAAUGGAACCAUUUUUGCAAGAAUGUCUCCUGGGCAGAAAUCAAGCCUUGUGGAAGAGUUUCAGAAAUUGAAUUAUUAUGUGGGCAUGUGUGGAGAUGGAGCCAAUGACUGUGGGGCUUUGAAAAUGGCUCACGCGGGCAUCUCGCUAUCAGAACAGGAAGCAUCCGUGGCAUCUCCCUUCACCUCGAAAACAGCCAAUAUUGAAUGUGUGCCUCAUCUCAUCAGGGAGGGCCGAGCUGCUCUGGUCUCAUCCUUUGGUGUAUUUAAAUACUUGACCAUGUACGGAAUCAUUCAAUUUAUUGGAACGUCACUUCUGUACUGGCAACUUCAGCUCUUUGGUAAUUACCAGUAUCUCCUGCAAGACGUGGCCAUUACACUGAUGGUCAGCUUAACGACCUUUAAGACAAAAUACAUUGAUGUAGCAUGGCCUUAGGGUAAUCAUUACAGUGGAUGAAGUGAGCAUAAACCAUGCCUACCCGAAGUUGGCUCCAUACAGACCAGCAGGACAACUGCUUUCCCCUCAGUUGCUACUCUCGGUCUUCAUGAAUUCUUGUUUCACCUGCAUUGUGCUAGUGUCUACAUUUCUCUCGGUGAAACAGCAGCCUUGGUACUGUGAGGUCUACAAAUACAGUGAAUGCUUUCUGGCCAACCAAAGUAAUUUCUCAACCAACACGAGUUUGGAGCAAAACUGGACUGGAAAUGCAACUCUGGUUCCUGCUUCUGUGCUAAGUUUCGAGGGUACCACUUUGUGGCCCAUCGUCACCUUCAACUGCAUCUCAGCAGCAUUUAUUUUUUCUAAGGGAAAGCCAUUUCGGAAACCCAUCUACACAAACUAUUUAUUCUCGCUUCUGCUGACAUCUGCUGUGGGCCUCACUCUUUUCAUUCUGUUUUCUGAUUUUCAAGAUAUAUACCGUAAAAUGGAGUUCAUCCCAACAACAAUGUCAUGGAGAAUUUCGAUUCUGGUGGCAGCCUUUGUCCAGUUCUGCGUGGCCUUCUUUGUAGAGGAUGCCAUCCUUCAGAAUAGAGAGCUCUGGCUGCUUAUAAAGAAAGAAUUUGGAUUCUACUCCAAAAGUCAGUAUAGAGUCUUGCAGAGAAAGCUGGCAGAAGACCCGACAUGGCCUCCCACAAACAGGACAGAUUAUGCAGUCAAUGGCAAAAAUGGAUUCUACAUCAACAGAGCCUAUGAGAGCCCCGAAGAGGUCCCCAAAGGGAAGCUCACGCUGGGAGGGCAAGCUUCAGAACAGCACUUUUGGACCAGACUGUAAUCUGAAUUGCUGUCACGCCUGUUCCGCAACGUUACCCUUUGUUCCCUAAACUAAACAUUGUGGAAAGGUGGAAAACUGCGUACCCUUCUCUCUUCAUCAAAGCAUUCAGUGCACUUCAACAUGCCGAGAGUCUUGCAGCAGGGAACCUAACAUUAAUUAUAUCCUUCACUAGCUGGACAGAAAACUGCAUGUCUCAGAUCACCAUUUUAAUAACCCAUAUUCAUAUUGUAUUGUUCUAAAUGGACAGGUCUCAUGCAAUGAAACUGAAUGUAUGGCCAUCAGAUGAGAAGAAAAGCUGAGGUAGCAUUUGGCAGUUGAAAGUUUGAGUAAUAUAUUAAUUGAUGUAAGUUUCCUUAAUCUUAUAUUAAUUUGUGAACCACAUUCUUGUACAUAUAUUUGACCAGGAUCAAUGAAAUGCCUCCUGGUUUGCAUCUUUGGUGUGGCUUUAUUAGAGAAAUAAGAUUACUAAUUCCACCCUAGCUACACAGGAAGCCAGAGAGGUGUGGAAGUUGAGAAUAGGGAUUGGUGCUAAACUUUUAUAAUCAGGCAUGGCAUUGCUAAAAUGUAUGCAAACUAUACCAACUUUGUACAUUCCAAAGGUAUAUUGUAUGGGGCCAGUGAAUCUAACAGUGCAGAAUAGACAAAAAUAAUGAAAUAAACUGUUCAAAUGUGUUUUUCACU